This 253-nucleotide ribosomal RNA is filed under the name uncultured bacterium. RNAcentral describes it as "partial 16S ribosomal RNA". It matches the Rfam family "Bacterial small subunit ribosomal RNA", at positions 524 to 776 of the family's 1533-position model. The record is from RNAcentral.
UACGGGGGGGGCUAGCGUUGUUCGGAAUUACUGGGCGUAAAGGGCUCGUAGGUGGCCAACUAAGUCAUGCGUGAAAUCCCUCGGCUUAACCGGGGAACUGCGUCUGAUACUGGAUGGCUUGAAUCCGGGAGAGGGAUGCGGAAUUCCAGGUGUAGCGGUGAAAUGCGUAGAUAUCUGGAGGAACACCGGUGGCGAAGGCGGCAUCCUGGACCGGCAUUGACAUUGAGGAGCGAAAGCCAGGGGAGCAAACGGG